UCGUCAGAAUCUUUCCCAUUCCUUGCAGUACAGUGCGGGCCUGGGGACACGUGGUGCUAACAGCAAAGCAGAGUAAAUCCAGACUUCUCUCUCAUUGAGGGCGUCUUUCUAAUGCUGCAACAGCU
Molecule: small nucleolar RNA, 125 nt
Filed under: Pelusios castaneus (West African mud turtle)
Lineage: Eukaryota; Metazoa; Chordata; Testudines; Pelomedusidae
Description: Small nucleolar RNA SNORA55 (ENSPCEG00000019388.1)
Rfam family: Small nucleolar RNA SNORA55
About the family: ACA55 is a member of the H/ACA class of snoRNA that guide the sites of modification of uridines to pseudouridines.
Source: Rfam by way of RNAcentral